RNAcentral lists this ribosomal RNA (544 nucleotides) under uncultured soil bacterium. Its description in RNAcentral is "bacterial SSU rRNA". It matches the Rfam family "Bacterial small subunit ribosomal RNA", at positions 8 to 572 of the family's 1533-position model. The record is from RNAcentral.
AGAGUUUGAUCCUGGCUCAGAAUCAACGCUGGCGGCGUGCCUAACACAUGCAAGUCGAACGAGAAAGUGGAGCAAUCCAUGAGUAAAGUGGCGACCGGGUGAGUAACACGUGACUAACCUGCCCUCGAGUGGGGGAUAACCCCGGGAAACCGGGGCUAAUACCGCAUAACAUCGCAAGAUCAAAGUAGCAAUACGCUUGAGGAGGGGGUCGCGGCUGAUUAGCUAGUUGGUAGGGUAAUGGCCUACCAAGGCUGAGAUCGGUAUCCGGCCUGAGAGGGCGCACGGACACACUGGAACUGAAACACGGUCCAGACUCCUACGGGAGGCAGCAGUGGGGAAUUUUGCGCAAUGGGGGAAACCCUGACGCAGCAACGCCGCGUGGAGGAUGAAGUCCUUUUGGGACGUAAACUCCUUUCGACCCGGACGAUACUGACGGUACGGGUGGAAGAAGCACCGGCUAACUCUGUGCCCAGGCAGCCGCGGUUAACUACAGAGCGGUGCGAGCCGUUGUUCGGGAAUUAUUCGGGGACGUUAAAAGGGGCGC